CACAAUAUUGAGCAAAUGCCACAUAUCACAUGUGGGCAAUAAGAGUACUGUUGCAAACUUGCAAUUCCCAUAUAUGUGGCAAUUUCCCCUUAUACUCCACCAAUUGUCACAUAUAUGCCACAUAUAUGGGAAUGACAACACUAGGGCUGGGCAUGGUCCCAGAUCGGUAACCAAUUUCCAAAGCCCGGUCUUUGCAGUAAAAAUUUUCGAGAUCGGAACAAGCCCGGACCGGCAUAAACCGAGCCGGUCUUACCAGUUUUCGGGCUUUUUUCCAGUUCGUCGUCGGUCGCCGCCGAUUCGACCUGAAUCAAGUCCUAGCUCUCCAAAAAGUUCUCCCACUUGCGCCAAUUCCCUCCCCUCUUCAUGCAAUCCCUGAUCCCUCUACUCUCACUCAAUCGACUAUCCCAUCUCUCUCAAUUCAUUCCUAUCAAAAUUAUCAAAAUCAGAAACCGACACAACCACUGCCGUCAAAUCAAAACCAAAACAAAUGCAACAAUAAGAAAUAAAGAAAAAAUAAAAAACUAAAACGAGAUAUCUCAUGGACUAACGAUAUGAAAAUCACAGAGCUUCCAAAAACGAGUGUUGGAUAUCUGGAAAUCUGGAGCUUUUUUGAAUUGUCUGACUGGGUAAGAUCUAGCACUGAGAGGGAUUGAAUUGAAAUUGAGAGAGAAACAGGGAAUUUCAACUUGAGAUUGAAUAGGAUUAUAGUGGAGAGAAAGAGAGAUUUGGGAAAGUGUUUUGAUUUGUGAGAGAGGGAACUAAUUUUUCUGGGUGUUCUUCUUCUGCCACACAGAGAAUUG
RNAcentral lists this long non-coding RNA (800 nucleotides) under Fragaria vesca (wild strawberry). RNAcentral describes it as "long non-coding RNA (FVES_LNC003593)". Lineage: Eukaryota; Viridiplantae; Streptophyta; Magnoliopsida; Rosales; Rosaceae. The record is from RNAcentral.